GAUCUGGCUCAGAACGAACGCUCGGUGGCGUGUCUAUACAUGCAAGUCGAGCGAGGCAGCAAUGCCGAGCGGCGAACGGGUGAGUAACGCGUAAGCAAUCUGCCCCGUAUCAGGAAAUACCCGUGCCAACGCGCGGUUAAUGUCCAGGAGAGUGGCUCCCGCAUGGGGAGUUGACUAGAGAUUUAUCGGUAUGGGAUGAGCUUGCGUCCGAUUAGCUAGUUGGCGGGGCAACGGCCCACCAAGGCGACGAUCGGUAGCCGGCCUGAGAGGGUGAUCGGCCACAUUGGGACUGAGAUACGGCCCAGACUCCUACGGGAGGCAGCAGUAGGGAAUAUUGCACAAUGGGGGGAACCCUGAUGCAGCAACGCCACGUGUUGGGAAGAAGCAUUUCGGUGUGUAAACCACUGUCGUGAGGGAAUAAGGCCUGUUCUAGGACAGGAUUGAAUGUACCUCGAAAGGAAGCACCGGCAAACUUCGUGCCAGCAGCUGC
RNAcentral lists this ribosomal RNA (490 nucleotides) under uncultured bacterium. RNAcentral describes it as "bacterial SSU rRNA". It matches the Rfam family "Bacterial small subunit ribosomal RNA", at positions 15 to 518 of the family's 1533-position model. The record is from RNAcentral.